GGGGAGUCGGCCUCGGGGCUCUGCUCUCCUACCUCAGUCUGCCCUACCCUGGAAUGGGGAAAAUGCGGACAUGCCACUCAGUCCGGCCGCGAACAGUGCUCCAGAACUCAGAGAGUUUUCCAGACGGGUGGAGAUCGCGUUCCCUGCCCGCCGAGGUCCCAUCGCUUCCCUGCUGGGAAGACAAAUGAGGCGCUUUAGCCGUCUCCACGGCCAGCCCCUCCCUCAUAACCCGAGAUUCUUUGUGGGCUCUUAGUCCAUAGCUGCCUUUGAGGUGGUGUAGACCUUGCUAACCAGGACGGCCCAGUAGGCAGAGCUCAUUUUUAUUCCUGUCUGCAAUCGUGCAAAAACGCCUCUUAUGGAAAAGCCAGAGCGCCAGGAGUCAGCAAAACACACUAAAGAUUGGGCAGUCACUGGGGAGAACGUGAGUAAAAGCACAGGAACAGCAAAGCGUUCAGGAACGUUCGAGGCUGACGCAACCGGCGCAGGAAGAUGGCCUGAAGCAACUGAAGAUCCACAAAAGAAGUGAAAAUAGCCUUAACUGAUGACAUUCCACCAUUGAGAUUUGUUCCUGCCCCACCCUAACUGAUACGAUAUAUUCUCCCCCGCCCUUAAGAAGACUCAGCCCGCCUGCACCCAGGUGAAAUAUACAGCCUUGUUGCUCACACAAAGCCUGUUUGGUGGUUUCUUCACACGGAUGCAUGUGACAUUUGGUGCUGAAGACCCAGGACAGGAGGACUCCUUUGGGAGACCAGUGCCCUGUUGUCGCCCUCACUCCGUGAGGAGAUCCACCUAUGAUCUCAGGUCCUCAGACCAACCAGCCCAAGGAACAUCUUGCCAAUUUCAAAUCGGAUAGGAGUGUCAGGCCUCUGAGUCCAAGCUAAGCCAUCAAAUCCCCUGUGACCUGCACGUGUACAUCCAGAUGACCUGAAGCAACUGAAGAUCCACAAAAGAAGUGAAAGUAGCCUUAACUGAUGACAUUCCACCAUUGUGAUUUGUUCCUGCCCCACGCUAACUGAUACCAUAUAUUCUUCCCCCGCCCUUGAGAAUGUACUUUGUACACCUAUCCCAAACCUAUAAGAACUAAUGAUAAUCCUACCACCCUUUGCUGACUCUCUUUUUGGACUCAGCCCGCCUGCACCCAGGUGAAAUAAACAGCCCUGUUGCUCACACAAA
Molecule: long non-coding RNA, 1173 nt
Filed under: Homo sapiens (human)
Lineage: Eukaryota; Metazoa; Chordata; Mammalia; Primates; Hominidae
Description: oligodendrocyte maturation-associated long intergenic non-coding RNA
Source: RNAcentral